GCAAGUCGAACGAGAAAGCUCCUUCGGGAGUGAUUAGAGUGGCGCACGGGUGAGUAACACGUGGGUGACCUGCCCUUUAGUGGGGAAUAACCAGAGGAAACUCUGGCUAAUACCGCAUGAGUUCAGCAAUUUUGAAAGUAGCUGAAGAAAGACUGCCUCUCCUUGGAAGCAGUCGCUGAAGGAUGGGCCCGCGCGACAUUAGCUUGUUGGUGGGGUAAAGGCCUACCAAGGCUACGAUGUCUAGCCGGUCUGAGAGGAUGAUC
RNAcentral lists this ribosomal RNA (263 nucleotides) under uncultured bacterium. RNAcentral's name for it is "partial 16S ribosomal RNA". It matches the Rfam family "Bacterial small subunit ribosomal RNA", at positions 57 to 305 of the family's 1533-position model. The record is from RNAcentral.